AUGAUUGUAUACUACACCAAACAU
RNAcentral lists this non-coding RNA (24 nucleotides) under Cricetulus griseus (Chinese hamster). The record is from RNAcentral. Lineage: Eukaryota; Metazoa; Chordata; Mammalia; Rodentia; Cricetidae.